AGUGAACGCUGGCGGUAGGCCUAACACAUGCCAGUCGAACGGCAGCACAGUAAGAGCUUGCUCUUACGGGUGGCGAGUGGCGGACGGGUGAGGAAUACAUCGGAAUCUACUUUUUCGUGGGGGAUAACGUAGGGAAACUUACGCUAAUACCGCAUACGACCUACGGGUGAAAGCAGGGGAUCUUCGGACCUUGCGCGAUUGAAUGAGCCGAUGUCGGAUUAGCUAGUUGGCGGGGUAAAGGCCCACCAAGGCGACGAUCCGUAGCUGGUCUGAGAGGAUGAUCAGCCACACUGGAACUGAGACACGGUCCAGACUCCUACGGGAGGCAGCAGUGGGGAAUAUUGGACAAUGGGCGCAAGCCUGAUCCAGCCAUACCGCGUGGGUGAAGAAGGCCUUCGGGUUGUAAAGCCCUUUUGUUGGGAAAGAAAAGCAGCAGGUUAAUACCCCGCUGUUCUGACGGUACCCAAAGUAUAAGCACCGGCUAACUUCGUG
RNAcentral lists this ribosomal RNA (492 nucleotides) under uncultured bacterium. RNAcentral describes it as "partial 16S ribosomal RNA". It matches the Rfam family "Bacterial small subunit ribosomal RNA", at positions 29 to 507 of the family's 1533-position model. The record is from RNAcentral.